GGGUGAUUAGCUCAGCUGGUAGAGCGCCUGCCUUACAAGCAGGAUGUCGGCGGUUCGAACCCCGUCAUCGCCC
Molecule: transfer RNA, 73 nt
Filed under: Desulfosporosinus metallidurans
Lineage: Bacteria; Bacillati; Bacillota; Clostridia; Eubacteriales; Desulfitobacteriaceae
Description: Desulfosporosinus sp. OL tRNA
Rfam family: tRNA
About the family: Transfer RNA (tRNA) molecules are approximately 80 nucleotides in length. Their secondary structure includes four short double-helical elements and three loops (D, anti-codon, and T loops).
Source: Rfam by way of RNAcentral